UCCAUAAGAAAAAAGGCUUCAACAACUCCUCUAAAUCUUUUCAUUUCUAUUUUCAUUUUUAUUUUUAAAAUCAAGAGACAUAAUAGAAACUCACUCUUAAAAAAUAAAAACUCUCUUUCUUCUUCCAACCAAAUUCUGAUUUUGUACUCAAAACUUUUUUUUAAUACCAUUCAAUGAGAAGUUAUUAUGGUGUAUUAAAUACUAUUAAUCAGAAAAACCAAAGGUGUAAUUGGGUUUUGAUCAGCGUACUAUUCCUAUUUGGUGCUCAUGUGAGAGUUUCUUAGGUUUUGGUAUCUCUCCAGGAACUGUUAUCACUUGGGGAAGCAACUACUAUGUGAUGCGGCUUUGAAGUUGCCAGCAGAUAAGGAAGCUACGCCUAGAGAUGCAGAAGGGGUGGUGGGUGCAGAAAUGAGAAACAACCCUAAUCUUGUAACACAUCCUGGUGGUGUGGCUGCCUCUGUUAUUGCUACUGCUAGGCUCAACCAGACCAAUGACUAGGUUGAUUAAAAUACCCAGAACUCAGGAAUGUCAGACUAGCUUCAUAGUGAUGGUGUAGCUAGCAGUCUUAGGGAAGUUUCUCCAUUUCAGUAGACUGUAUGUGAAGUUGUAAACUUCUGUGCCUUAUAAUGUGUUAAUAGUGUUGCGGACCUCGCUUUUAUAAAUGAGUGUUGAGCUUAUGCAGUAGCACAAGCAUCUAACUGUCCGUUGUUAAAUGUGCAUCUCUUCUCUAUUUCCAAAAGAUGCUUUUAUUACAGAAUUUCUAGGUUUUAGUGGGAUUUUCCCAUAUAUACACUGCUUUAUGUUGGUGAAUAGUCUGCCUUUACAUUUGGAAAUUCCUUUGUUUUUAUACUUGUACUGAAAUUUUGGUGAGUUGGGUAUUUCAGAUAUGUGAUUAUAGAUAAGAAAAGUGGGAAGAAUUUGUUCUAU
This is a long non-coding RNA of Papaver somniferum (opium poppy), 927 nucleotides long. RefSeq lists it as uncharacterized. The record is from RefSeq and is a predicted model, not a curated record. The transcript is spliced from 2 exons. Lineage: Eukaryota; Viridiplantae; Streptophyta; Magnoliopsida; Ranunculales; Papaveraceae.